RNAcentral lists this ribosomal RNA (884 nucleotides) under Aspergillus niger. Its description in RNAcentral is "LSU rRNA". It matches the Rfam family "Eukaryotic large subunit ribosomal RNA", at positions 51 to 950 of the family's 3401-position model. The record is from RNAcentral. Lineage: Eukaryota; Fungi; Ascomycota; Eurotiomycetes; Eurotiales; Aspergillaceae.
CGGAGGAAAANAAACCAACCGGGAUUGCCUCAGUAACGGCGAGUGAAGCGGCAAGAGCUCAAAUUUGAAAGCUGGCUCCUUCGGAGUCCGCAUUGUAAUUUGCAGAGGAUGCUUUGGGUGCGGCCCCCGUCUAAGUGCCCUGGAACGGGCCGUCAGAGAGGGUGAGAAUCCCGUCUUGGGCGGGGUGUCCGUGCCCGUGUAAAGCUCCUUCGACGAGUCGAGUUGUUUGGGAAUGCAGCUCUAAAUGGGUGGUAAAUUUCAUCUAAAGCUAAAUACUGGCCGGAGACCGAUAGCGCACAAGUAGAGUGAUCGAAAGAUGAAAAGCACUUUGAAAAGAGAGUUAAACAGCACGUGAAAUUGUUGAAAGGGAAGCGCUUGCGACCAGACUCGCCCGCGGGGUUCAGCCGGCAUUCGUGCCGGUGUACUUCCCCGUGGGCGGGCCAGCGUCGGUUUGGGCGGCCGGUCAAAGGCCCCUGGAAUGUAGUACCCUCCGGGGUACCUUAUAGCCAGGGGUGCAAUGCGGCCAGCCUGGACCGAGGAACGCGCUUCGGCACGGACGCUGGCAUAAUGGUCGUAAACGACCCGUCUUGAAACACGGACCAAGGAGUCUAACAUCUACGCGAGUGUUCGGGUGUCAAACCCGUGCGCGCAGUGAAAGCGAACGGAGGUGGGAGCCCCCUCGCGGGGCGCACCAUCGACCGAUCCUGAUGUCUUCGGAUGGAUUUGAGUAAGAGCGUAAAUGUGGGGACCCGAAAGAUGGUGAACUAUGCCUGAAUAGGGCGAAGCCAGAGGAAACUCUGGUGGAGGCUCGCAGCGGUUCUGACGUGCAAAUCGAUCGUCAAAUUUGGGUAUAGGGGCGAAAGACUAAUCGAACCAUCUAGUAG